RNAcentral lists this ribosomal RNA (519 nucleotides) under uncultured bacterium. Its description in RNAcentral is "bacterial SSU rRNA". It matches the Rfam family "Bacterial small subunit ribosomal RNA", at positions 30 to 519 of the family's 1533-position model. The record is from RNAcentral.
AUUGAACGCUGGCGGCAUGCCUUACACAUGCAAGUCGAACGGCAGCACGGGAGCUUGCUCCUGGUGGCGAGUGGCGAACGGGUGAGUAAAGUAUCGGAACAUGCCCUGAAGUGGGGGAUAACGUAGCGAAAGUUACGCUAAUACCGCAUAUUCUGUGAGCAGGAAACGGGGGAUCGCAAGACCUCGCGCGAAUGGAGCGGCCGAUGUCAGAUUAGGUAGUUGGUGGGGUAAAGGCUCACCAAGCCAACGAUCUGUAGCUGGUCUGAGAGGACGACCAGCCACACUGGAACUGAGACACGGUCCAGACUCCUACGGGAGGCAGCAGUGGGGAAUUUUGGACAAUGGGCGCAAGCCUGAUCCAGCCAUUCCGCGUGCAGGAUGAAGGCCUUCGGGUUGUAAACUAGCUUUUGUACGGUAACGAAACGGGUACUAGGUCCCUAAUUAACGCGGGCCGUAAUUGAACGGUAACCGGUAAGAAGUUAAAGACGACCCGGCUAACUACCGUAGCCAGCAAGCCCG